Molecule: ribosomal RNA, 336 nt
Filed under: Triticum aestivum (bread wheat)
Lineage: Eukaryota; Viridiplantae; Streptophyta; Magnoliopsida; Poales; Poaceae
Description: partial small subunit ribosomal RNA
Source: RNAcentral
AUGGGCAGCAGCGCGGCGGAGAUGGAGACCUUCGCGUUCCAGGCGGAGAUCAACCAACUGCUCAUCGUCAACACCUUAUACUCAUACAAGGAUAUCUUCCUCCGCGAGCUCAUCUCCAACUCAUCUGAUGCGCUUGACAAGAUCUGGUUCAAGAGCCUGACGGACAAGAGCAAGCUCGAAGCGCAGCCGGAGCUCUUCAUCCACCUCGUCCCCGACAAGGCCAACAAGAUGCUCUCCAUCAUCGACAGCAGCGUUGGCAUGACCAAGUCAGGAAAUGCAGCUGGUCUUGAGAUGCAUGCUUCCCUCGUCUUUCCCAUAUCAGAAUCAUGUCUAUGA